This 786-nucleotide ribosomal RNA is filed under the name Chloroflexota bacterium. RNAcentral describes it as "Chloroflexi bacterium (groundwater metagenome) partial 23S ribosomal RNA". It matches the Rfam family "Bacterial large subunit ribosomal RNA", at positions 1 to 741 of the family's 2925-position model. Lineage: Bacteria; Bacillati; Chloroflexota. The record is from RNAcentral.
GGUCAAGAGAGAGAGGGCACACGGGGGAUGCCUAGGUGCCGGAAGCCGAAGAAGGGCGUGGCAAGACUGCGAAAAGCCUCGGUGAGCUGUCUAGCAAGCAUAGCCGGGGAUACCCGAAUGGGGCAACCCACCCGCGGUAAUGCGUGGGUAUCCUGUUGAGAGGUCAGCAGGAGGGUAAGCGGGGGAACUGAAACAUCUAAGUACCCCGAGGAGAGGAGAGUAUUCCCUUAGUAGCGGCGAGCGAAGGGGGAACAGCCCAAACCGUGCAUACUGAGUGGUCGGCGGGCCUAUGUAUGCGUGGUGUUGUAAGUCCUGACGUGGCGUUCUGCCGGGCGCCGACGGAGUUACAAACUGCACAUCUAGCCGAAGGUCCCUGGAAAGGGCCGCCGCAGGGGGUGAGAGUCCCGUAGGCGAAAGGUGAUGCGGCUCCGGUCGGGUACUUGAGUACCCCGGGACACGAGGAAUCCUGGGGGAAGCUGGGGGGACCACCUCCCAAGGCUAAAUACUUCCGGCGACCGAUAGUGAAGAGUACCGUGAGGGAAAGGUGAAAAGCACCCCGGGAGGGGAGUGAAACAGCACCUGAAACCGCGUGCCUACAAGCCGUCACAGGCGGGGGGGCGAGCAGCCCCCCGGCUGCUGGCGUGCCUAUUGAAGAAUGAGCCGGCGAGUUAAUCUCAGUAGCGUUUAGGUUAAGCGACUCAGUCGUGGAGCCGGAGCGAAAGCGAGUCUUAAUAGGGCGGAUAGUUGCUGGGAUUAGACCCGAAACCGGGUGAGCUACCCAUGGCC